Molecule: ribosomal RNA, 550 nt
Filed under: uncultured bacterium
Lineage: Bacteria
Description: bacterial SSU rRNA
Rfam family: Bacterial small subunit ribosomal RNA
Source: RNAcentral
UAGGGAAUCUUCGGCAAUGGACGGAAGUCUGACCGAGCAACGCCGCGUGAGUGAAGAAGGUUUUCGGAUCGUAAAGCUCUGUUGUAAGAGAAGAACGAGUGUGAGAGUGGAAAGUUCACACUGUGACGGUAUCUUACCAGAAAGGGACGGCUAACUACGUGCCAGCAGCCGCGGUAAUACGUAGGUCCCGAGCGUUGUCCGGAUUUAUUGGGCGUAAAGCGAGCGCAGGCGGUUAGAUAAGUCUGAAGUUAAAGGCUGUGGCUUAACCAUAGUAGGCUUUGGAAACUGUUUAACUUGAGUGCAAGAGGGGAGAGUGGAAUUCCAUGUGUAGCGGUGAAAUGCGUAGAUAUAUGGAGGAACACCGGUGGCGAAAGCGGCUCUCUGGCUUGUAACUGACGCUGAGGCUCGAAAGCGUGGGGAGCAAACAGGAUUAGAUACCCUGGUAGUUCACGCUGUAAACGAUGAGUGCUAGGUGUUAGACCCUUUCCGGGGUUUAGUGCCGUAGCUAACGCAUUAAGCACUCCGCCUGGGGAGUACGACCGCAAGGUUG